UGCGUGUGAAUGAGAGUCCGAGAGAGUGAGGGCUCAGGUCAUCAGUGCUCCAUAGCGUGCAGCGUGUGGCAGCAGACAGCGGGAGACUCCGCACACAUGUGGACUUCACAUCAGCGCCAGCGGAAGGAUGAGUCGGGGAGACAGCACAGCGGCCCACUCCGAACUUACUUAAGGGCAGAAACAGGCUACAAUAUGGGACCCUUUUUCAAGGUGAACAGAAAGUAAGGUCGCCAUUUACACCCACGUACGUCUGUUCCUUAAGAGUCUUACUUAAAGAGUACUUCAACAUCUCAGCAGCCAAAAAGGGCAACCUGAAGUGGAGCUCAAUGCAGAUCACACCGUUCAAGAGCCAAGCAUCCUCUCAACUUUCUGAGCACACGAUUGUCUGUUUCAAAUCCUACAUGAAAUGGAAAGAAGCCUGUCAAUGAUCCAAAUCUAUUCAGAAGUGCCUCCUUGAUAGACUUUUCCUGAGGUACAGAGAACAUUAAAGUAUUAACAAAAGCUCAGGCUAAUACAAACACCAAUGCACUUUUUAUAAACAGGCUACAAUCAAAUAUUUCACAGUAGAUCUUUUCGCAAGCGUCUUCUAUCAACGCAUCCAGAUUAAGUGCUCUCGUGGUUCGCUAGGGCCUUCAUCACUUUAAAGCUGCUAAUCUCUGGUUCCCAACUGCAGCAAAUCCUAUUAAAAUCACCUUCAGUUUAACACUCACAUUGUUACAAAAUGCAAAACACGCAGCUUUCGCCUUACUCUGUUAAUUGAGGGUAGUGCAUCCCUGUAAAAGCGUGUCUGCGAGCAUGUUAAAUAAAUCGCGUGAAUUUCUCA
Cyprinus carpio (common carp) is the source of this 823-nucleotide long non-coding RNA. The record is from Ensembl. NCBI's taxonomy places the organism in Eukaryota, Metazoa, Chordata, Actinopteri, Cypriniformes, Cyprinidae.